CCUACGGGAGGCAGCAGUGAGGAAUAUUGGUCAAUGGGCGCGAGCCUGAACCAGCCAAGUAGCGUGAAGGAUGACUGCCCUACGGGUUGUACACUUCUUUUAUAAAGGAAUAAAGUGAGGCUUGCGUGCCUUUUUGUAUGUCCUUUAUGAAUACGACUCGGCUCACCCCGGGCCAGCAGCCGCGGUAAUACGGAGGAUCCUAGCGUUUUCCGUUUUUUUUGGGUUUAAAGGGAGCGUAGAUGGGUUGGUAAGUCAGUUGUGAAAGUUUGCGGUUCAACCGUAAAAUUGCAAUUGAUACGGGCAGUCUUGAGUACAGUUGAGGUAGGCGGAAUUCGUGGUGUAGCGGUGAAAUGCGUAGAUAUCACGAAGAACUCCGAUUGCGAAGGCAGCUUACUAAACUGCCACUGACAUUGAUGCUCGAAAGUGUGGGUAUCAAACAGGAUUAGAUACCCCUGUAGUC
Molecule: ribosomal RNA, 460 nt
Filed under: uncultured bacterium
Lineage: Bacteria
Description: partial 16S ribosomal RNA
Rfam family: Bacterial small subunit ribosomal RNA
Source: RNAcentral